RNAcentral lists this ribosomal RNA (743 nucleotides) under uncultured bacterium. RNAcentral describes it as "bacterial SSU rRNA". It matches the Rfam family "Bacterial small subunit ribosomal RNA", at positions 1 to 738 of the family's 1533-position model. The record is from RNAcentral.
UAGUGAUUAGAGUUUGAUCAUGGCUCAGAUUGAACGCUGGCGGCAUGCCUUACACAUGCAAGUCGAACGGCAGCGCGGGAGCAAUCCUGGCGGCGAGUGGCGAACGGGUGAGUAAUACAUCGGAACGUGCCCAAUCGUGGGGGAUAACGCAGCGAAAGCUGUGCUAAUACCGCAUAAGAUCUACGGAUGAAAGCAGGGGAUCGCAAGACCUUGCGCGAAUGGAGCGGCCGAUGGCAGAUUAGGUAGUUGGUGAGGUAAAGGCUCACCAAGCCUUCGAUCUGUAGCUGGUCUGAGAGGACGACCAGCCACACUGGGACUGAGACACGGCCCAGACUCCUACGGGAGGCAGCAGUGGGGAAUUUUGGACAAUGGGCGCAAGCCUGAUCCAGCCAUGCCGCGUGCGGGAAGAAGGCCUUCGGGUUGUAAACCGCUUUUGUCAGGGAAGAAAAGGUUCUGGUUAAUACCUGGGACUCAUGACGGUACCUGAAGAAUAAGCACCGGCUAACUACGUGCCAGCAGCCGCGGUAAUACGUGGGGUGCAAGCGUUAAUCGGAAUUACUGGGCGUAAAGCGUGCGCAGGCGGUUAUGCAAGACAGAGGUGAAAUCCCCGGGCUCAACCUGGGAACUGCCUUUGUGACUGCAUAGCUAGAGUACGGUAGAGGGGGAUGGAAUUCCGCGUGUAGCAGUGAAAUGCGUAGAUAUGCGGAGGAACACCGAUGGCGAAGGCAAUCCCCUGGACCUGU